RNAcentral lists this ribosomal RNA (1372 nucleotides) under uncultured bacterium. Its description in RNAcentral is "bacterial SSU rRNA". It matches the Rfam family "Bacterial small subunit ribosomal RNA", at positions 28 to 1381 of the family's 1533-position model. The record is from RNAcentral.
GAUGAACGCUGGCGGCGUGCCUAAUACAUGCAAGUCGAGCGAACGGACGAGAAGCUUGCUUCUCUGAUGUUAGCGGCGGACGGGUGAGUAACACGUGGAUAACCUACCUAUAAGACUGGGAUAACUUCGGGAAACCGGAGCUAAUACCGGAUAAUAUUUUGAACCGCAUGGUUCAAAAGUGAAAGACGGUCUUGCUGUCACUUAUAGAUGGAUCCGCGCUGCAUUAGCUAGUUGGUAAGGUAACGGCUUACCAAGGCAACGAUGCAUAGCCGACCUGAGAGGGUGAUCGGCCACACUGGAACUGAGACACGGUCCAGACUCCUACGGGAGGCAGCAGUAGGGAAUCUUCCGCAAUGGGCGAAAGCCUGACGGAGCAACGCCGCGUGAGUGAUGAAGGUCUUCGGAUCGUAAAACUCUGUUAUUAGGGAAGAACAUAUGUGUAAGUAACUGUGCACAUCUUGACGGUACCUAAUCAGAAAGCCACGGCUAACUACGUGCCAGCAGCCGCGGUAAUACGUAGGUGGCAAGCGUUAUCCGGAAUUAUUGGGCGUAAAGCGCGCGUAGGCGGUUUUUUAAGUCUGAUGUGAAAGCCCACGGCUCAACCGUGGAGGGUCAUUGGAAACUGGAAAACUUGAGUGCAGAAGAGGAAAGUGGAAUUCCAUGUGUAGCGGUGAAAUGCGCAGAGAUAUGGAGGAACACCAGUGGCGAAGGCGACUUUCUGGUCUGUAACUGACGCUGAUGUGCGAAAGCGUGGGGAUCAAACAGGAUUAGAUACCCUGGUAGUCCACGCCGUAAACGAUGAGUGCUAAGUGUUAGGGGGUUUCCGCCCCUUAGUGCUGCAGCUAACGCAUUAAGCACUCCGCCUGGGGAGUACGACCGCAAGGUUGAAACUCAAAGGAAUUGACGGGGACCCGCACAAGCGGUGGAGCAUGUGGUUUAAUUCGAAGCAACGCGAAGAACCUUACCAAAUCUUGACAUCCUUUGACAACUCUAGAGAUAGAGCCUUCCCCUUCGGGGGACAAAGUGACAGGUGGUGCAUGGUUGUCGUCAGCUCGUGUCGUGAGAUGUUGGGUUAAGUCCCGCAACGAGCGCAACCCUUAAGCUUAGUUGCCAUCAUUAAGUUGGGCACUCUAAGUUGACUGCCGGUGACAAACCGGAGGAAGGUGGGGAUGACGUCAAAUCAUCGUGCCCCUUAUGAUUUGGGCUACACACGUGCUACAAUGGACAAUACAAAGGGCAGCGAAACCGCGAGGUCAAGCAAAUCCCAUAAAGUUGUUCUCAGUUCGGAUUGUAGUCUGCAACUCGACUACAUGAAGCUGGAAUCGCUAGUAAUCGUAGAUCAGCAUGCUACGGUGAAUACGUUCCCGGGUCU